UUAUUUCCUUAUCUUGAACGUUUCUUGAAUAUCGUAGAGAAAAUCCCGCUUUGUUUGUAACCACAACCCUCGCCAGGCUCACACCUGUUCCACUAACCACGACUCCGAUAUAGGAGUCUUCAUCACCCGCCGCCUCCGUAUGCCCACUAGACGAGUCGUGACCGCCACUGCUCGUCUGCUCCACCACCAUCAGUCUCUGUUCCACCGCGACAUUGCCUUCGUUCUGUCUCCCGUCAAGUCAUUUCCGUUACUCUUCACCACCAACCAUCUACUGGUGCUUAUGUCCGCCAUAUUCGGGAUCAUAUUGGCCCAUCCGCAUUUCAGCCCAUGCAUCUCCAUGCGGGGACUAUCACCACUUUCUGCGCCUGCGAAAACUGAUUGCAAUACUUGCCUGCUCUCUCAGUUGAGACUUUGAGGUGAUAAUUCGUUUUAUUGAAUUCAUUGCUUUUUAUUGAAUUGAAUUCAUUUCCAUGGGGGAGCAUUACUUUUUAUAUAGUUUGUUAUAUUUAAGGUAAUAAUUCUUGCCUGCUCUCUGACUUAAAUUAUCGAUUCCCAAUUUGCUUGAUUCAUGAUAUUGAAAAGUCGCGUCAUAAUUGAGCAAACGCCUAAAGUUUGUGAUUAUUUGAAAAAAUUAUCAAAUAAAACAAAACGCUGACAAAUAAUCCAAAAAGGUUGAAAGGCCAACCCAAGUCUUGUUUUUCUUUAGCUAUAUAUAGUUGCAGAAAUGAAUGUUUUUAAUGCUGUAAAUUAUAUCUGUUCAUUUGUCUAAUUUUUUCCUCAUACUGUAUUGGAAAAGACUAUUAAACAUAACUUUCUUUUUCAAUUAUGUGAGAGCAUUUCAUGCCUUUAUUUAUUUGACCAUAAAAGUAAACUAUGAUGGCCUAAUCUUGAUUCAAAAUUGAAUCUUGAUUUUCUUGGAAUUAAAGUUCAUAAAAUCAUGCCAUCAUCUAUAGAUUAGUAUGUUAGAUUUUCAGAUAAUUGAGGGAGACAUCCAAUGGUCACGUAGCUGCUUAGUAUUAGACACACUACAAUUAGGUUGACGCUACAUGUAUUGAUAUAAUUUAUUGGGAAGAUUGCAGUGGCGGUCGAAUGUAUAGAAAUUGUGCAACUAAGUACCCAACCUUUUUUGUUUCGCCAAAGAUGGGUCCCAAACGUUAUUAGUGUGUAUCACCCAUCUUUGGAAAGUCUGAGUGGAAAAUAAAGUUUGGCAAUUUGUUGGUUUUAUUCUCAUUCCUUGUUUAAUGCAUUCAAGGAAUGAAUCUCCAAUUCAGUGAUUUAGAUGUUGCAAUGAAUAUCUCCAAUUUAUUGAUAUAGCAAUGGAACAAAGGAACUUUAGUUCCAUUUAUGUGAGCAUUAUGGUCAUACCAUCCAUGAUUUAAUGGAAAAAAUACUGUUUUACCAUGAAAAAAAUAUUGUUUUACUGGACAACUGAAAUUUCUGGUUUAUCAUUCUUGAAAUUGAGACACCAAUUGACAAGAUUGUAGCAUUUAUUAAUGUUCAGUUAAGAAACCCAGCAUAGAAAUUGUUGGAUUUUAUGCGCAAUAUUAAAGAGAUGAAAAACGGAAAUCAACACAAGAAUUUUACGUGGUUCGGCGAUGUGCCUACGUCCACGAGAGCGAAGCGGAGAUUUCUUUUUCUGUUAUGAAAAAUAGGGUUACAACAUAUUAUUUAUACUAACCCUAAUCUAGGCCCAUAUAAAACUUUAAGGCCCGUACAGAAAAUACCCCUGUACCGUACCGCGGGGGCGUUGCCCCCGCACCCCCAACCCAUUCAGCGUCCCUAACAACCAAACAGUGAAUUAAACCCGCGCAAGGCCGAUGCUGUCGCUCCGCUCCGCGCCGGCAUUGGCCCAUUUGAUCCAGAGCCUGUGUUCCACUCUAUAUGAGCCACAUGUACAACAAUCUCCACCUUGGCGAAUAUUCACCCUUUAGGAGAAAAAACAUAACCUGAAAAAAUCACACCAUCUAGGACCAAUGGGUUGGGACACAUCUUCUCUAACAAUUAGAGAUGUUAAUCAAGUUCAAGCAAUGCUUGAACUUAUCCAUUGUGAUUGGCUUUGUCAUCAUGUCUGCUGCAUUUUCUGAGGUAUGCACCUUCUCUAACAACAGCUCUCCUGAAGUAACCAACUCUCUUAUCUUAUGAAAUCUCACGUCAAUGUGUUUGGUUCUUGCAUGAUAAAUCUGAUUCUUAGCUAAGAAGAUGGCACUCUGACUAUCACAGUACAGUUUCAUUCCAUCUUGCUUGAUUCCAAGUUCCCUGACAAGCCCUUUCAACCACAAUAAUUCCUUGGCUGCCUCAGUUGCCGCCAUGUAUUCUGCUUCAGUUGUAGAUAAUGCCACAAGUGAUUGCACCAUUGACCUCCAACAUAUGGGCCCACCUGCGAGUGUGAAAACAUAACCUGUAUGGGACCUUCUGUCAUCCAAGUCCCCUGCAUAAUCUGCAUCUACAUAUCCUUGAACUGAAAUAUCACCAUGUUGUCUCUCAAACAUGAUCCCACACUCCAUUGUACCUUUCAAGUACCUGAAAAUCCACUUUACAGCUCUCCAAUGCUCUCUACCAGGAUUAGCCAUAUACUUACUAACCACACUGACUGCAUGUGCUAAAUCUGGUCUGGUACACACCAUUGCAUACAUCAAACAUCCAACUGCACUGGCAUAAGGUACCUUUGACAUCUCUGCAACAUCUUCUUCACUCUUUGGGCACUGAUUAUUAGACAAUCUGAAGUGAUUUGCAAGUGGUGUGGCAACUGAUUUUGCAUCUGACAUGCUAAACCUCUCUAACACUUUCUUCAAAUAGUUUUUCUGAGACACCCAUAAUUUUCUGGCUUUCCUAUCUCUGUUGNUGAAAAAUAGGGUUACAACAUAUUAUUUAUACUAACCCUAAUCUAGGCCCAUAUAAAACUUUAAGGCCCGUACAGAAAAUACCCCUGUACCGUACCGCGGGGGCGUUGCCCCCGCACCCCCAACCCAUUCAGCGUCCCUAACAACCAGACAGUAAAUUAAACCCGCGCAAGGCCGAUGCCGUCUCUCCGCUCCUCUCACUCCGCUCCGCGCCGGCAUCAGCCCAUUUGAUCCAGGCCCUGUGUUCCACUCUAUAUGAGCCACAUGUACAACAGAAAUUAUAUUCAGUGCUUACCAUUAAAAGAGCAAAAUAAGAAAAUAUAAUAUUUGUCCUUUAACAAAGAUGGAUGGAAUUGAGAUAUCAUAUAAUUACCCAGAGAUGGACUGAUAUAUCUUCAAGUUCAGAUACACACUUUCACCCCACCCCCAACAUAAAGAAGAAAAUAAAAUUUAGGAAAAAGAAGAUAGGGAACAUAUGCAAAAUAACUGUUACUGUUACUGCAACACAAUUUCCACUAGUCUUAACUAUUUUUUGACUCCUAAAUGGUGUUAAGACAAAGGUAGCAAAAAGAGGAGUUUAGGUGGGCCCAUGUAUGUCCAGCUCGAGUUCUUACUGGAUUAAGUGGAAUUGGAGUUGGAGGAGGUGGAUGGCUGGUUGGGAUUAGGGAGGGAGCUUGGUGCUUGAUUGGUGGCAGCUCCUGGGUUGUUGACCACAGCAGUGUCAGCUUCCUGGUAGAGUUGCCAGCAUCGCUCGUUAUACUCAAGAAUCAGUGCCUGAUUCUCUUGCUCGAGAUUCCUCAGCAUCUUCAUCAGCAUUUCAUUUUCCUUUGUCGAUUCAUGGUUCUCUGACUUUAGCCUUGAGUUGCUCCUCUCCGUUUCUGUGUAACAAAAAUGUCAUAAAGUGCUUGCCCUUUUUUUUUGGAGAAGACUCUACAAGGAAAGAUCAAGCAAACACAAGAAAUGAAAAUUAAGAAUAAGUGUACAGCUUUAAACUAUCUCAUUUUGAAAAAAGAUCAUUAGUAAAAGAUUCAAAGGAGAGAAAAGAGAGAGAGAGAGAGAGAGAGAGAGAAAAGAAAAAAAAACAUGUCCAAACUCAAUUACAAAUAGGUUAUUCAUUGUCCAUUGCUAGAAGUAGAAGAAAUUAAGUGUGCAAAAAGUAAUCUAGAAUAUAGUGUACCAAAUGUAAUAAAAAUAAUUUAGAGAAUUAUAAGAAAGCUGUUGAAGAAGAGAAAAAUCCUUUCACAACAAUCCGUAUGCCCAAUAGUUAGAAUGUUAUAGAAUAAGUGAAGGUGUAUAAAAAUUGUAUUUGUAGAAUGUUUAAGAAAAUAGAGAGAGAGAGAGAGAGAGAGAGAGAGAGAGAGAGAGAGAGAGGCCUCUAUGAAGCUUUUUCAAGCAAGAUCACCUUCCCAAGUCUUUGUUGAAGGAGGGGGGUAUGGAUGAGAAAAGUUUUCCCUCUCCUUGGUUGUCGAAAAGAGGCUACAGUUCUUGUUUGAGAAUAGAAGUGAGGGACUUAGUAAAAAAUGAGGUCAAUAUAUGGCGCUAAAAGAUGGAGCAAGUGAAUGUGAAGAAAUGAAAAACACGCAGAAGGAGAAAAGGACAAAGAGAAGGUAGGUUGGGAGUGUGAUCUCUUGCUCUUUUUCUCUUGUCAAGAAAAACAUUCAUGUGUAGGUGUAGUUGCCGGCAUCUUUAGGAAUGGAUUUAAUGUUUCUUCAAGUUUGAAAUGGUUGUGAUGAGUUUUUUAAGGGGCGGGAUCAUGUGAGUGAUGGAGUUCAAAAAGACUGAAAGCACAUUAUGGGAAUUUCAGUUCAUUUACUCCUAGUGUGUGAAAUCAAGAAAAGGACACGUUGCUUACCUCAGUAAAAAUGAUGCAACGGCUAUGUCAAUUUCAAAGAUUUUUGACUUAAUGAUUUGAAUUGAUUCAAACCAACACAACUCACGAUCAACUUCACAUCCACAAUUGAAUCUGUAUCAUUUCGUACGGAGUUCAGCAUGUAUAAGCCCUUGCUUGAGCCCCAUUUUUUGAAAAAACUACAUUCUUAAAUAGUGUUUUGACCCAGCUUCAACCACGCAUUCUACGAUAAAAUAAUGCCCUUGGUUGAGCCUCAUUUUUCAACUAAAAUACAUUCUUUAACAGUGAUUUGAUAUCAUUUCAACCACACAUUUUUUAAUAAAAUAAUAUUAUACGCAAAUGAAAUUUUUUUCCUUAUUUUGUAACCACACAUUUUCCAUCAAUACACUAUUCAAAAAUUCAUUUUCUUCACAAAAAUGGGGCUCAAACAAGGGCAAUAUUGCAUGCAAAUCCAAAAUUUCUCCUUAUUUUUUAAUCACACAUUUCCCAUCAAUACAUUAUUCAAAGAUGCAUUUUUCGGAUAAAAAUGGGGCUCAUACAAAUUCUAAAUGUCAAAAUCUACUCCAUUCAUCCAAAUCUUGUGUAUUGAUCUUUUUUGUCUUCCUGUGGUUAAAUCUUUCUUUCUAUUACCUAUUUAUUUAUAAGGGUGUACAAUUUUUCUCCUUAAGCUUGGCAUUUGAUUUAUGCCCUGUUUUAUUGAAUGCCACAGUGUUUAAAUCUAGUGACAUUUAAAAAAGAAUCCAAUGUCAAUUAGAUAGAAAGAGUAAUUGAUGGCCAGCAAGUAAUUAAUGUCGAAAUUAGAGAUGCUUUGUAUAUUAGUUGUAAUUGGUAGAAAAUUGCUCAAUUUCCAUUCAUGUACAGUGAUAGCUAACUUUCAGCCAUGUAAUUUGCCUUACUAUUCUGGACGUAACUUCAUUAGAAACUGGUCUCGCUUGCUUUGCUCAUGUACAGUUUGAAUGGCAGCAAGAGAUUCAACUGCUACUUUAGUAUAGAUAAUAUCAGCAAAUUCACCCCAUAAGCUUUGAAACCCAGAGAAGUAACCUGGAUGUUGAGAUUGGCUUAAGUGUAAUUUGCAAUUUCAUACUCCAAUUGAAAUCGUCUGGCUGUAUUGUCUUGAUUGUAGACCUUUUUUAAAUACUCCCACAUCUCUUUAGCAGUCUUAUAAGGUCUUAGAUUUAGGACAAUUAUAGGAUCAACAGAUCCUAAAAUCCAUGUCAUAACCCUAGCAUCUUUCACUUUCCAUUGGCCUAAUUGAAUAUUCUCAGUAGGAGCUGGGUCACUUCCAUCAAUGUGACCCCAUAAUUCUUUUCCCAUAACGAAUAAUCGAAAAUGAAAUACCCAUGUAGAAUAAUUUUUACCCGUGAAUCGCACACCGAAAGUUUCAGACAUGUUGGUUGACAUGAUGUACGUAGUUAAUUAUACUAGCGAAAAAAGGACCCAAUAUAAAUUCAGCAAAACCAAAGUCCAGCAGAAAGCCCAAUAAUCCCAAUAUAAAAUUCUUAAGAAACUAAAUUGAAUAAGCAGCUACAUUGACAUCUAUACCUCCUAGUUAUUCAGAAGCAGCUAAACAUGAAUGCUAGGGGAAGGCUAUGGAUGAAGAACUUCGAGCACUUCAGGAUAAUCAUACUUGGGAUGUUGUUCCUUAUCCACCUAAUGUCAAGGCUAUUGGUUGUAAGUGGGUAUAUUCUAUUAAGCUUCGUUCUGAUGGAACUCUGGAUCGUUAUAAAGCUCGCCUAGUUGCUCUCGGAAAUAAGCAGGAAUAUGGGGUAGAUUAUGAUGAGACAUUCGCUCAAGUGGCAAAGAUGACUACAGUGUGCAUUGUUCUUUCUAUUGCAGCCUCUCAGGGGUGGCCUCUUCACCAAAUGGAUGUCAAAAAUGCUUUUCUUCAUGGUGAUUUCCAGGAAGAUAUUUACAUGACACCUCCUCCGGGUCUUUUUUCCUCUUCUUCACAAGUAUGUAAGCCAAAGAAGUCUCUUUAUGGGCUGAAACAAGCUCCUCGAUCAUGGUUUGAGAAGUUUCGAUCUAUUUUAUUACAGCUUUCUUUUAUCCAGAGUCAGUAUGACUCCUCCCUAUUUCUUUGUAAGACAUCUACAAAUAUUGUUUUUUUACUUGUGUAUGUGGAUGAUAUUGUUAUCACUGGCACGGAUUCUGGUUUGAUAACUCAACUCUAGCAGCAUCUACAGGCUUCCUUUCACAUGAAAGAUCUUGGUCUACCACUUACAUAUUUUUUGGGUUUGGAAGUACAAACUGAUUCCACAGGUAUAUUUUUGAACCAACACAAAUACAUCCAAGACUUGAUCACUUUGACUGGUCUUCAAGAUUCUUCUUCUGUCGAGACUCCUCUGGAAGUCGAUGUUAAAUAUCGUCGUGAAGAGGGUGAGCUCCUUCCUAAUCCGACUAUCUUUCGUCAAUUAGUUGGGAGCCUCAACUACUUGACCAUCACUAGGCCUGAUAUAUCAUUCGCAGUCCAGCAAGUCGGUCAGUUUAUGCAAACUACACGACAUCUUCAUCUUGUGGCAGUUCGUCACAUCAUUCGGUAUCUCCAAGGUACUCCUCAUCGUGGAUUGUUUUUCCCUUCUGGGUCUCCUAUUCGUCUUGUUGCAUUUAGUGAUGCAGAUUGGGUCGGUUACCCUGAUACUCCUCGUUCUGUUACGGGUUGGUGUAUGAUUCUUGGUAAUUCUUUGAUCUCCUGGAAGAGUAAAAAGCAGGCACAUGUGUCUAAAUCUUCAACUGAAUGUGAAUACCGUGCCAUGUACGCUGCCUAUUCUGAGAUUAUUUGGCUCCGUGGGCUUUUAGCUGAACUUGGCUUUCCUCAGUCUGAUCCUACACCCCUUCAUGCGGACAACACGAGUGCUAUUCAGAUUGCUGCAAAUCCAAUAUAUCAUGAGCGUACAAAGCAUAUCGAAGUAGAUUGUGACUCAAUUCGAGAGGCUUUUGACGCAAAUAUUAUUUCUCUUCCGCAUAUCUCUACUGAUCUACAGAUUGCCGACAUAUUCACCAAAGCCAUGACACGACAACGUCAUCUCUUUCUUGUGGGCAAAUUGAUGUCAAUUCUUGAUCACCCAACAUCAAUUUGAGGGGGAUGUCAAUUAGAUAGAAAGAGUAAUUGACGGCCAGCAAGUAAUUAACGCCAGAAUUAGAGAUGCUUUGUAUAGCUUUGUAUAUUAGUUGUAAUUGGUAGAAAAUUGCUCAGUUUCCAUUUAUGUGCAGUGAUAGUUAACAUUCGGCCAUGUAAUUUGCCUUAUUAUUCCUAUAUAUACAAAGGAACCCUCACAAUGAGGAUUAUCGAGUUAAAAAGGAGAAAUUAAAUACCUUGACAUCCAAUUGUACUAUUAAUUACUCAUUUAAAUGGGGAUAUGAGUUUUCCUUAUUCAUGAUCUCACUGUGACCUAGAGAAGUCAUGGCAUAAUAUUGGGUGAUGGAUUGACAAAGGAAAAUGACUAAGAAAAAGGAGAAGUCAUAUUAUUGCAGAAUGAGGACUUAAAAUUGUAGAUUUUAAAUGUGUAGCAUAACAUUAUUUGUGCAACUUAUGCGCUUUGCGUUGUCCACCCUUAGUUUAAAUUUAAUACAUUUGUGUUGAACCACAAAAAAUGAUAGGUUAAGGAUAAUAUGCGGAACAAAACUACAAAAAUAAUAUAUGGAUCAAAACUAGGAAAAUAAACAUUAUUUCACCAAGAAGUAAAAAUAUAAUUUUCGUGUAAAAGCUUUAAUAACAUGACUGUUGGAGUCAAAACACAUUGAAAAAGCAAUUGUAAUUGUGCAUUUCUUUUAAUCUAAAGUCGUUAUAUGACGAGUGCAAUCAAGCGGACAAACAUCGAGCUCCUGAAAUGUUAUAAACAUGCAAUGGUCCCCAAAUAUCAAUGUGAAUUAAGGCAAAUGAGAUUGAAGAUUUUUUCCCUACUAUAUUAAAAGGAGAAUGUGAAGUUAUUGUAGAAAUCAACAAUAAAUUCUUUCAUUUUAUCUCAUUGUAGCCAUUUUUUUAUUGUGGGAGUAAAAACGACGUCAUUUGUCUUCAAUUAUUUAUAUAUUUUUACACGCAACUUCACUGCAACCAUCACUUCUACUGCAAUAUUUCUCAAUUUUUACAAACUAUUUCACCUCAUCCAAUUCAACUGAUAAAGAAAAGAAAUUGAACGAUUUAACAAAUUAAACAACAAAAAAAUUACAGGCAAAAAUAAAAAGAAACAAAAAAAGAAUUUUUUUAAAAAAUUAUUUACAAUAUGAACAAAACAAAAUGAAACAAAAAAAAAAAAAAAAAUUUUUUUAAAAAAUUAUUUAAAAUAUAAAAAAAAAAAAAAGAAAAAAAAAAAAAAAAAAAAUAGUGUGGGAUGGAGAGAAAUCUCGCCAUGGUUUUGGAGAGAAGUCUCUCCGUGCACGAAGACUUUACACUUCAUCAAUAAUUUUUUUUUUUUUUGGGGAAUAGGGAGACAGUUCUUUUCAUCAAAAAUUUGUCCAUUCUUUUAACUAAACAAUAUUUAUAUAUUCUUUAUUUAAUUUUCGUAACUUUAUUUUAUUUUUUUUAUUAUAUAUAUUUUUAAAAUUGUUUUAAAAUUUCUUUUCUUCUUCAUAUUAUAAAUAUUUUUUUUGAUUUAAAAUUCUUUUUGUUUUACGAUAAAACGCAUUUUUUUUAAUUUUAAUUAAAUAAUAUUUAAUUUUAAUUUUAUUUAUUUCAAUUUAAUUCAAAAACUUUAUAACAACUUUUUUUGUUUCUUUUUAUCUUUGCCUGAAUUUUUUUUUUCUGCAAUUCUUUUUUUUUUUUUUUGUUCUCUAAUUUGUUAAAUCAUUUAGUUUGUAACUAUCAUUUUACACCAACACGAAUAAAAAACUAAAUGGUUUAACAAAUUAAAGAACAAAAAAAUUAUAGGCCAAAAAAAGUUAUUAUAAAGUCUUUUAAUUGCAAUGAACCAAAUGAUCGGACGAAUACUUCGAAUCUAUAACAAGUUUUGAAAAAUCUAUUUGACACUAAUAAAAAUACAAUAAAUAUAAAGCUCAUGCAAAGCAUGUGACGACUAGUAUUACCUAAUGAAAUGAAACAUGAUGAUGCUUGGAAAAUUCACAAACGUCACAAUGAAAUGUGUUUACAUCAAUGUUUUUGAAUAACAAAGGAAACAUGAACCUAAGUGAUUUAAAUGAAGGAUGACCAACACGAAAAUGGUAAGCCAAAAUUGGUCUUUACUUGUGGAAAAUGACUUGGAUAAAUAUAAAAAAGGUAGUUGGUUACCAUUGCUCACAUUGCCACCACUUGUAUAGAGGGAGUAGAGUCCGCCUUUUUCCUUAGCAUGCCUAGUCAUCCUUUCUAUAACCCUGUAAAACACGAUGAGUAGGGAAAAAUAACAUUGCAGUUAAUUUUAUAGCAAGUUGAUAUAUAGACACAAGGUUGGUGGAAAGAUGAGGUGCAUGUAAAACAUUUUUAAGACCCCAAAGAUGAAUUUAUGUUGAUUAUUCUUUGCUUGCAAUAGUGGCUAAUGACCCGUCUGCAAUGGAUUCUUGCGUAUUGCUAGGAUAUAGAAGUUUUGUGAGGAAUGUAUUAUACGAUUUGUAGCUCCCGAGUAAAUGAUCGAAGGACGUGAAAAUGAUAUAUGUGAAGCACAUAGUGCAUGAGAGAAGAGAAUACCUGAUGUAUUCGUAGGCUGCUCUUAACAAACUCAAAAAUUUCUUUAGCUUUUCAAUCUCUUAUUUACUAAAUUUUGCAAGUUUGACACUACAUUAUUAGCACUCGCGCAGAAGCGUUUGUGAAAUUCUUGUAAGAAGAAUUAUGUAAUAAAUAAGAAUGAUAUUGAAAUAAUCUUGCUUUGUGUAUAGUGAAUAAUAAUUGAUGUUCCAAAAAAGUGUACAAUACCUUUGCAUUUAUAGGCAAAAUUAUUCCCCAAUCUUAUUAAUAUAAGGAAACUAAAAUAAUUAAACUAAAUUUUAAAAGGAAAUAAACUCAAAUUCAAAUCUAAAGAAAAUUAGAAAUCUUAUUCUAAACAAGGAAGAAGAUAACAUAUAUUGUUGCCACAUAGCAAGCGAACUUGGGUUUGCACUUCACAUCGUUUUGCCCAAGUGGUAGUUUUGGCCCAACCCCCUUGAGGAGGCCGAAUCCUUAUGGAGAGACCAAACUCAUUUGCCGAAUCCAACCCUAUAUAGAAGACCUAACCCUCAUGGAUGAGGCAGGGCUGGUAGGGGCUCUACAAAGGGUCAUCCAUACAAAAUCGUUAAUGAAUUAUUGAUGUGACAACUCACUGAAACCUUUGAUGCUCGGACUAUUUGAGAUGGUCGAAGUACCCAUGUCAGACAUGACACGACAUGAGUAUGGGUAUAAGAUAUGUGUUGAAUCUUUCAAGUUUCAAUCGGACACUUCACCAUUUUUGCUUCUUCUUUCUUUGUUCUUUCCCUUUUCUUCUUUUUUUCCCUUUUCCUCUCUUUGUAUUGAUGGUUUAGGGUUCUAUUUGUGUAAAAUAAAAAUGGGUUCCAUAUAGUGCUCCAUUAAGUCCAAAUUGCAAUCAAGUCCUUCAUUUCUAUUUUAUAUGAUAUUUAAUAAAUAACUUUCCAUAAUUGAAAACUAAACUUCAAAAUUCUAUUUUAUUCCCCUUAACCCCUAAUUUAAUACUUAUUUCUUUCUUUGUAAAUAAUUGAUUUUGGUCUAUUCAAAAUGACAUCUUGGGAUGGUAAAAAAAAUAAAACUUGAAAGACGUACCCACGUACUCGUAUCCGAAAUUUGGACUCUUUUAGCCAUAUCACUGUAUCCUACAUUUUAGAAAAAUAAAAUAUUCAAUACUUGAAUACAUACCCGAUACCCAUACUCGAUUCGAGCAUAAUAGACUGCAACAACCACCCAACCCACUCAACAGGUGAAGUCUAAUUUCUAUAUGUCAUGUCUAGGGCUACAAAAGGUCAUAACAUUAAAUGUGCCUGAGCCUAAAAUUGACAAUUGAUGCGUAUGACAAGUUGCCUCACCCACUAGGAUGAGACCACGUGUCUCUUCAUUCAACGAUUUUUACUCAUCCCGUUUUACCAUGAAAGCUCAUACAUUGUGUCAUUUAAAGGUAACAUAAGUUUAGACUCUCAAACUAUAAUUUUGCUCUAUAUAUUUACUCAUACAUUCUCCCAAAGUUGAACCCCUUUUUCACAAGUGGCUCAUCUAAAGUACAUCCCAUAUUCAAAUACCUAUUUCAUCAACUAAUUUGACUGUCGGAAUGCACGUGGCCGCCUCCCCCACGACCGAAGUAGGUCAUGUAUAGCUAACGAUUUGUCCUAGUGUACAGGAGCAUGCUUACAUGAAAGUGAUAGACUUUUGGAGGAGGUCAACAUAUUACAUACAACUAGAAAUCUUAAAUAUCAUAUUAUAAAUAUCUAACUUUUUUCCUAUUUAUAAUAGGAUUGUCCUACGUUAGUCACUAUGUCCUUGGGUUGAACAUAUUAAGUCACCAUAUCUUUAUUUUUCCAUAACUAGGGCUGUACUAUCCGUGGGUUGACUCUCAAGCAUAAUACUGUCCUUCCUCCUUUGGCUUGAAUAAUGGAGACUACUCAUUAAUGGAUGGUAGAGUUUCUCCACAAGUUGCAGCAACCUUGAUGGAAAUCUCAUAAACAUCAGAGAUGUUGGAAUUAAAAAGAGGAUGUAUAAAUACCUCAGCAAUGAAGGCUGGAAACUUUAGCAAGUAUGUAUCAUUUAAUUAUUAUCUUCAAUGAGCUUCCUCACAUGUAGGCUGAAUAUAUUUUUUUCCCCCAUCAAAGCCUAACACGUGGACAAUUCAUUUAAUUGGGUGGUGAGACUUGAACUUGGGAACUUUGCUGCUUUGAUACCAUGUGAAGAAAAAUUGUAUUAACAUACUAAUCCAAUCAGUAGUGCAAACCUAAUUUAUAAUCUAGAAUUACAGGGAAAGUCAAAGAGAAAUUAAAAUGUCAAUCCUUAAUUAAUCAGGGGAUUACUGCUAGUAACUUUUAAACAGUAGGCAUUAUACCUAUCUCACAUAAAUACACAAUUUAUAUACAGCUAUACACAAAUCUAAGAUAUGAAUAUCAAAUAUUUCCAGCACAGCCUAUUGUCAGCUUGCAAAGUCAUUCUCAACCAUCUUAUGAGAAAAUUUGUCCCCGAGUAUGUAUUCUGGUGAUGGAUAAAAUUUAUUUUCUAGUAAUGUAAGAUCUUUGUCACUGCAUAUUCGUUGUUCUGUUUAUGUCUCUAGCUCCUAUACACCAUCGACUUUUGCUUGUAUGCAUUAGCCUAGACAAGAAUUCUUCCAACGCCAAUUUUUUUGUUAUUUUCUUUUUAUUUUUUCUGCUUUUGUUUCUUCAGCUGUGAGAAGUUAGAUAGUUAUUUUCACCGUAUAGACCGGAAAUUACAGUAUGGUCAAAGGGAGAUUGUGUUGACGAAGUAUGAAGUUAUUUGUAAUCUCCUCCAACUUUACCUUGAGUUUCCUGUGCUUGAAGACUUGAAGUGAGAGUCACAAUCUCAUGUUUCCCAACAAACAUGCCAUGCAUGUUCCAUAAUUGUUGGUAAAUAAUAGUAAAGAAACUAUGAGCAUGGAAAAUAAAGGAAAAAGAUGAAGUAGCAAGUUUAUUGCAUGGCUUUUGGAACAGUAUAUAAGCUGAGAAGUUGAUCGUAAUAUAAAGGCUUGAGAUAUUCUAUUUGUUGUGUAGGAUCCUUUUUUUUUAAUCAUUAUUACUUUGAUUAGUAUUAUUGUAUCUUAACAUUUCUAAUUGAAGGAUGUCCUAUUGCUCAACUAAUAGCUCAUAUAUUUUGUAACUUUGUGGCUCGCCUGUGAUAUUCGUUCUGAGACCUGGUAUGCGAAUUGUUCUUUUGGGUUGUUAAUCAGCUUUUCAAGAACAAUCUGCCACCCCGCCACAAAAAGGAGGGGGAAAAAAAGGCUCUAUAGCAAGCCAAAAAAUAAAAAAUAAAAAUUGCUGACCGAAGUCUUGUUGAUGCUUGCUAGAUUAGAAUCUAUUUAUCAAAAUGAAUGUGUUUAUUAUUCUGCCCUUUUGUCUAAGCUAUAAUAGGUAGGUGCUAAUACAUUUUGAGACAAGAAACAUAAAGUAUAUGUAUACGAAAUAUGCAGCAGCUAUCUUAAGAUUCUUAAUUGUCCCAUAUUUGUUUGGCUACAAUACAUUCAAGAAAUAUGUGAAAGAUGACUGGCAAAAGAGUGGAGGAGUUGAGUGAGGGGUGCCUUUGAGGUAGAUACAUCACAGAAAGUGUUUGAUUUCUCUCUCAUUUCCCCUAUUGACUUGGCAAGGCUUUUCAGUAAGUUCUAUCCUAUGACCAAUCUAGUUUUAACUCUGAGGAGUAGCUCAGUGGUCAGACCUUAGAUUUGCUCUCUAAUGAUCACUAGUUCAAGUCUUCACAGAGCCACUGAGAUGAGUUGGCUGUAAACUUCAGGGCAACAUGGAAUUAGUCGAGGUAUGCGUAAUUUGACUCGGACACCUACGAUUAUUAAAAAAAUAAAAACAAAAUUCUAGUUUGGAAGCUUAAGCCUUUAGAGAGGGAAAACAUUUAUUUAUUUAAAUUAGCUAUCAACACGGUCCUUCAUCUGCACGUUGGACUUGUUCUUUUAUUAAAUGCAUGGUGUGUUCACAAUUUUGAUAAAUGGGUGGUGUUGGGACUUGAAACUCAAAACUUCAAGCUGUUCUGAUAUAGUUGUGAAAAGCUCUAAGCUGUCAAAUAAUUAUUUAAUUUUAGUUGUCAACAUGUCAACGUUAGUACUGCAAACAUAAAGGGCAUUAUCGUUUGAAUGGUUUUGUUUUACCUGCGCUCUUCUAAGACAAAAAAUUCUUUAUAGUCCUGUCUUAUUUCUGUCUCUAAUAUAUCUGUCCUUAACCUCUGAUUUCUGUUACUCGUGCUAGUUUUUUUUGUAUUAUAUUUUCGUGUGCUUUUUUUUUUUUUUUAAUUUUCUGAUCCCUCUCUUGACUUCAGGAACAGACAGGCAUCUACAGUUGGGAUGCUAGGUUUUUUGGGUGUUAUGGUUGAUUUCCCAAGUUUGAUUGACUUAAAAAGCAACUUUUAAGCUCAACUAUAUGUUCGGCAUCUUUACAAUUGUAGAGCUGAUAAUUGCAAAUGCUAGCAUGGCUAUUGUAAUUAGAGGCACCCCGUAAUCAAUAGUGGAACAGAAAUGUUGGGGGGGGGGGGGGGUGAAUACUUUUCAAUUUCUCUUCUUUUCCUUCAACCAUUAUUGUUUAAAAAAAUGAGUUUUUAUUAGUGAGUUUUAGGAGAAUGAGUGGUUAAAAAAUAGGAUACGUGUAGAAUAUUUUGUCGUAUGAAUAUGUGGUUAAAAAGAUCAUGUAACAAAUCAUCAAUUAGAUUAUUGUCAAACAAAGUUUUGCUAUUGCUAGAGUUGAUAUGAUUGGAAUCAGAG
RNAcentral lists this long non-coding RNA (15011 nucleotides) under Olea europaea subsp. europaea. Lineage: Eukaryota; Viridiplantae; Streptophyta; Magnoliopsida; Lamiales; Oleaceae. The record is from RNAcentral.